This 2132-nucleotide long non-coding RNA is filed under the name Brassica napus (rape). RNAcentral's name for it is "long non-coding RNA (BNAP_LNC018965)". Lineage: Eukaryota; Viridiplantae; Streptophyta; Magnoliopsida; Brassicales; Brassicaceae. The record is from RNAcentral.
CGGUUACGCGAAAGAUUCGAAUUCCGGUACGGUUAAAUUCACAAAUUACGGUCAGUCUUACAAUCCCGGUUCGGAAUCGUUCACCAGUUAUGGGAAAGGAAGCGAAGGACAGAAGAUCAGUUUCAAAACGUACACACCGAACUCCACCUUCAAGGACUACGCUAAAAACGGCGUCGCUUUCGCCAAGUAUAAUGUGUCAUCCAUCGGGGAUGGCAAAACCGUGAAUAAGUGGAUAGAGCCGGGUAAAUUCUUUAGAGAGUCAACGCUUAAAGAAGGCACAGUGAUUGCUAUGCCUGACAUUAAGGAUAAAAUGCCUAAAAGGUCGUUUUUGCCCCGGAGCAUCGUCUCUAAGCUACCGUUCUCGACCUCCAAGCUCGCCGAGGUUAAGAUGAUCUUCCACGCCGGAGAUAACUCGUCGAUGGAGAAGAUCAUCUCCGACGCGGUGACGGAGUGCGAGAGGCCACCGAGCGUGGGAGAGACUAAACGCUGCGUUGGAUCAGCGGAGGAUAUGAUCGAUUUCGCCACGUCGGUGCUUGGUCGUAGCGUGGUGCUAAGAACGACGGAGAAUGUGGCGGGGUCAAAGCAGAAGGUGGUGAUUGGAAAAGUCAACGGAAUCAACGGUGGGAAGUUGACAAAAGCUGUUUCGUGUCACCAGAGUUUGUACCCGUAUCUGUUGUAUUACUGCCACUCGGUUCCUAAGGUUCGGGUGUACGAAGCGGAUCUUCUUGAGUUGAAUAGUAAGACUAAGAUCAACCAUGGGAUUGCCAUCUGCCAUAUUGACACGUCAUCAUGGAGUCCGGGACAUGGAGCUUUCUUAGCUCUCGGGUCGAAACCAGGUCGGAUUGAGGUUUGUCAUUGGAUAUUUGAGAACGACAUGAACUGGGCUAUCGCCGAUUAGAACCGGUUCCAAAGUUUUAUCACCAAGAUUUGAAUAGUGGAAUUUUAGUCUUCGGUAACAGUAAAGCUUGUUACUGAUUUGUGUGUGAUUGUAAGAAUAAUAAUAAUCUUUGAAGAGCCGAUUCGUGGAAUGUUAGACCAUGUUUAUCCCUGCUUAAAACUGGGUUUCUUAAUGUAAGGGUCUCACCAAAAUCUUUAAAACUCAUCACAAAAGCAAGCAAAUAAGGAUCCAUCUUUCUCUGUUUCUUUGACUGUUAGCGUACAGCACAGACACGUGGCGAUCCACGAUUGGUUUGUCUUUUAAUUAAAUUUUUUUUUUCGGACAAAAAAAACAAAAUACAAAAAAAUUUACCUAUGAUUCCGUGCAUACGUUUAGCAUGCUCUUAGUUUUCAGUAACAGUAAAGGCUUGUUACUGAUUUGUGUGUGAUGGUAAGAAUAAUAAUAAUCUUUGAAGAGCCAAUUUCAAGAUUAUUGUAAUAAUCACAAUAAACAAUUAUCUUUAUUAUAUAUCAUUGUAGAGAAUGUUUGUUGACGCAAUUUAUGUUUAUGGCUGGUUGGAUUCGAUGACUGGAUAUAUAUUUUAUCUACAAAUUAAGGGAUCAUGGAUCGAUAUAGAUAUAUUAUUAUCAUGAAGCAUCCGAGCCUCGUACGGCGACUCAUCCAACGUGAUCGGCUCUGAUUUCAAGAACUACGGCGAGGAAGAAAACGCCGCCAAAGAUACCUUCACCAGCUACGCGAGCGGCGGCAACGUACCGCUUAACAACUUCAAAAACUACGGCGAGUCCGUUAACGCCGCCAACGAUUCCUUCACGAACUACGGAGGCGGCGGCGGUAAUGUACCGCAGAACAACUUCAAAAGCUACGGCGUCUCCGGUAACGGCGCCGUCGACACUUUCGCGAAUUACAGAGAUAAAGCCAACGUCGGCGACGACUCGUUCUCCGGUUACGCGAAAGAUUCGAAUUCCGGUACGGUUAAAUUCACAAAUUACGGUCAGUCUUACAAUCCCGGUUCGGAAUCGUUCACCAGUUAUGGGAAAGGAAGCGAAGGACAGAAGAUCAGUUUCAAAACGUACACACCGAACUCCACCUUCAAGGACUACGCUAAAAACGGCGUCGCUUUCGCCAAGUAUAAUGUGUCAUCCAUCGGGGAUGGCAAAACCGUGAAUAAGUGGAUAGAGCCGGGUAAAUUCUUUAGAGAGUCAACGCUUAAAGAAGGCACAGUGAUUGCUAUGCC